CAAUAGCAUAUAUUAACGUUGUUGCAGUUGAAAAGCUCGUAGUUGAACUUUUGGUAGGAGCGACCUGGUCUUGGGCGCAUGCCCUUGUUUGCCGUGUGUCGUAUCUGGCCAUCCUUUUCCGCUUCGGCGGGAAUCUUUUACUGUGAGUAAACUGGAGUGCUCAAAACAAGUCGUUUGUUUGGUACAUUAAAGCAUGGAAUAAUAAGAUAGGACCUGGUUACUAUUUUGUUGGUUUGCAUAGCUAGGUAAUGAUUAACAGGGACAGCUGGGGGUAUUCGUAUUUAAUUGUCAGAGGUGAAAUUCUUGGAUUUAUGAAAGACGAACGACUGCGAAAGCAUUUACCAAGGAUGUUUUCAUUAA
Molecule: ribosomal RNA, 360 nt
Filed under: uncultured eukaryote
Lineage: Eukaryota
Description: partial 18S ribosomal RNA
Rfam family: Eukaryotic small subunit ribosomal RNA
Source: RNAcentral